AGCGAACGCUGGCGGUAGGCCUAACACAUGCAAGUCGAACGGCAGCACCGUAAGAGCUUGCUCUUACGGGUGUCGAGUGGCGGACGGGUGAGGAAUACAUCGGAAUCUACUUUUUCGUGGGGGAUAACGUAGGGAAACUUACGCUAAUACCGCAUACAACCUACGGGUGAAAGCAGGGGAUCUUCGGCCCUUGCGCGAUUGAAUGAGCCGAUGUCGGAUUAGCUAGUUGGCGGGGUAAAGGCCCACCAAGGCGACGAUCCGUAGCUGGUCUGAGAGGAUGAUCAGCCACACUGGAACUGAGACAGGGUCCAGACUCCUACGGGAGGCAGCAGUGGGGAAUAUUGGACAAUGGGCGCAAGCCUGAUACAGCCAUACCGCGUGGGUGAAGAAGGCGUUCGGGUUGUAAAGCCCUUUUGUUGGGAAAGAAAAGCAGCAGGUUAAUACGCCGCUGUUCUGACGGUACCCAAAGAAUAAGCACCGGCUAACUUCGUG
Molecule: ribosomal RNA, 492 nt
Filed under: uncultured bacterium
Lineage: Bacteria
Description: partial 16S ribosomal RNA
Rfam family: Bacterial small subunit ribosomal RNA
Source: RNAcentral